RNAcentral lists this long non-coding RNA (600 nucleotides) under Zonotrichia albicollis (white-throated sparrow). RNAcentral's name for it is "lncRNA (ENSZALG00000016494.1)". Lineage: Eukaryota; Metazoa; Chordata; Aves; Passeriformes; Passerellidae. The record is from RNAcentral.
AUGAAUAUUUUUGGUGCAGUAUGGGCUCUUUCUUUAGCUGUCAUUUUUCAGGUGCAAUAUGGGCCCUUUCUUUAUCUGCCAUUUUUCAGGGACUAGCUCAACAUUGUGCGACCAGCUCUACCAGUCCCUAGGAGAAUGUCCCUUUGUGUUCCAAACUCAGGGGAGCUUCUUGGCCCCUGUGUUCACUGGUAACAGGAGACAGUAGGGAGGGGGGAGAUGCACACCUGAAGCGUGGAUAUGCUGCAUUCUUCCUGGAGAGAGGGAAGAGCAUCCCAGCUGAUGGAAGUUGAUCACCUGUGCGUGUCGCUGCAUGAAGGGAUGAUGUACAGGCAGGUGUCUCCUUGUAAAGAGUCCCAGUGGUCAUGCUCUAAAAGUGUUUGUCUGUGAGGUUUGGUACAAACCCUUAGAAGGAAACCAGAAGCCAUGGAAGGAAAAUGCAGACAACUGCCUGGGGAGGGAAGAGGCUUUCCUGUAGAGGCUGAUUGUACCAAGCUCAGGAUAUUCUGCACUGUUACUCUGUGGAUAAUGCUGGUAACAAGCUUCUGUUCUUCAGUGUUCUGCAGUGGCACUGCUGCUGAAGAGCUUCUUCAUCCUCUGUGA